Non-coding RNA from Pseudonaja textilis, 867 nucleotides. Lineage: Eukaryota; Metazoa; Chordata; Lepidosauria; Squamata; Elapidae. The record is from RefSeq and is a predicted model, not a curated record.
CUCAGUCAUAGCAAAAUACACUGAAGUAAAGUUUUAGUGAUAUAUUGUCAGUUUGGAGAGAAGCACAUAUGCUCACUGAAUAUCUUGGCACAUGGAAUUUAUUUGUUGCCUGACUCGAUGUAACACUUUUUUUAUAUGACCGUAAAGGUUCUCUAGAUGUGAGAAUUCUUUAUAGCUUUUUACAUCCUUUGAUUUUGAUAUCCUUUGAUAUAAAAAUUAUUAUUUCUCAAAAUAAGUUUGCUUAAACUGUAGAAGAACUCAGCGUUCCAAGCUGUUGUGGCUCAGAUUUAUUUCCUUUUGAUAACUGACUCCGGAUGACUUUUUAAAAGAGUUGCUAGAUUUGCAAUAAGGCAAUUAAAUUUAAUCUUUUGAAUUGAUGAAAUUGUUCAUUAUAUGGGCCUCAUUUCUUCAAAUUGUCAUCAAUAGCAAAAAUAUCUAUUCCCUGCCUUAAUCUAUACUCCCUAGAUUACUUUUCCAGUUCUAGCUCUAAUAUUCAUUUGAAUGUUUUCCAGAAUGUUUGAAGCAAGACAUAUACCUUUCAUAGGUGUCAUUGCAGAAUAUAAAAAUAUACAGGAGGGAGGAUAGGUAGAUUCUGGGUUCUUUUAAAUAACCUGCAUUCACAAUAAAUCUAUAGCAUAUGCUAAGGCUAAAAUAUAAUACAUGAAGUUUCUUGUAUUUCCUUCCCAAAGCACAGAUUGAGGGGUGUCUUGAAAUGCCCCAAAGACCACAAAGUACAUAAAAGAAAUAAUCUCUGGAUUUCAGAGCCAUUUUUAAACUUUUUGUUAUAUUCUUUUUGCUUCAGAUGAAGAAAAUUGAAUGAGCGAGCUUGAUUUUACAUAAAGCUCCACAAAAAAAAAAAACCCAUAU